Long non-coding RNA from Durio zibethinus, 499 nucleotides. RefSeq lists it as uncharacterized. Lineage: Eukaryota; Viridiplantae; Streptophyta; Magnoliopsida; Malvales; Malvaceae. The record is from RefSeq and is a predicted model, not a curated record.
GGUGAAACAAAUGUUGAUGAAGCAGUGAGGGAUCUUCCUGGCGCCAAUACGCACUAGCAAUGAAUUUUAAUUAUUGGCGUGGAAAAAGUUUCUCUAUGAACAAAAUGAUUAUCAAAAAAGCUGUGGAAACUAGAGUCAAAGAGUUGUCUUGAUUCCUUUGGUUCAACAUGUCAAGCAGCAAGAGAUGCUAGAAUGAUCUUCUUUCCUGGGUUGGGGCAGAGUUGUCGCAACAUUUUUCGGUAAAAAUCGAAACCUCUCCUACGGUAUCUGUUCAAAAACCCUUUGCUGCCUUUGAUUGGGCUGUCGAAGACUCAUGGGAAGUUUGUUCUUGUCGGUGCUCCUAAGAAACCAAUUGAGUUACGAGCCUUUUCAAAGCAGAUGUUAAAUACCGAUUUGUCAAAUACUGAAUUUUCAUCGACAAACCAGUUUCAAGUUUAUAUAGAUUAUGCCACUUGUUAUAUUAAACUUUGAGAAGAUUGUAAUUAAUAAUAAAUAAAUA